UGAACGCUGGCGGCAUGCCUUACACAUGCAAGUCGAACGGUAACAGGUCUUCGGAUGCUGACGAGUGGCGAACGGGUGAGUAAUACAUCGGAACGUGCCCAGACGUGGGGGAUAACGAGGCGAAAGCUUUGCUAAUACCGCAUACGAUCUAAGGAUGAAAGCAGGGGACCGCAAGGCCUUGCGCGUUUGGAGCGGCCGAUGGCAGAUUAGGUAGUUGGUGGGAUAAAAGCUUACCAAGCCGACGAUCUGUAGCUGGUCUGAGAGGACGACCAGCCACACUGGGACUGAGACACGGCCCAGACUCCUACGGGAGGCAGCAGUGGGGAAUUUUGGACAAUGGGCGAAAGCCUGAUCCAGCAAUGCCGCGUGCAGGAUGAAGGCCUUCGGGUUGUAAACUGCUUUUGUACGGAACGAAAAGGCUCUGGCUAAUACCUGGGGCACAUGACGGUACCGUAAGAAUAAGCACCGGCUAACUACGUG
RNAcentral lists this ribosomal RNA (480 nucleotides) under uncultured bacterium. RNAcentral's name for it is "partial 16S ribosomal RNA". It matches the Rfam family "Bacterial small subunit ribosomal RNA", at positions 30 to 507 of the family's 1533-position model. The record is from RNAcentral.